GGUCAGUUGCUAGUCUAUAUAUGUUUCUGGACACCGUAAGUGAUGUGUGGCUUGUUGCGAGCGGAGGUCAGUAGUAACUGUUUGAAUUGUGUUGGGGGAGGAUGUGUCCGGGUGUGGCUGACCAGCCGGUGGUAAAUACUCUUUUGGCUGCUACAGCUCUCCAGCCCAGGGUGUCGACUGCCUAGUCUUCAACUGCCUCCCAACAUGGUAGCGAGGUCCUGAGCAGAUGUACCCUAUGGCGAAGAUUGAGGAAGUAAUUUCCUGAAGUAAUGAAUGGCACUUUAUAACCAGCAGCCGGCACCAGCUCUGGACAACGUCGGAGUGGACAAGGCCCAGAUCCCGUGGGGAGGAAGGUCUACACUAACAUGUAAAAGAACAUGGAUUGGGAAGUCCUAAACUACAUUCCUGGAGUUUGAAGGUGUCAAUUGACAUUCAGAAUCAGAUUACAAUGGUAUCCAAGCAUUGACUGACUUGAAGUGUGGCUGUUCUACUCUGCACAUCUAUGAAGCUGGUUGUGGAGGGUCCUUCCAACAUAAUUUCAGGGAUGGUGUACAGAAAAAUUGAACAUGGAUUGGGAAGUCCUAAACUACAUUCCUGGAGUUGAAGGUGUCAAUUGACAUUCAGAAUCAGGUUGUGGAGGGUCCUUCCAACAUAAUUUCAGGGAUGGUGUACAGAACAAUUGGUGAAAGUUAUGCUACAGAAAAUAGCAGUUGUGAGAAUUAGUUGGUAAAAAAUAUGGAUUGGGAAGUGCAGAAUUACAUCCUGGAGUUUGACAAUGUUGAAUGCAUGACAUUCAGAAUAAGGUGAUAAUGAAGAUUACAAUGGUACCAAAGCAGUGAGGCUAUUCUACUCCACACAUCCAAUAAACUGGUGGAUGUUGUCCUUGUUACUCUGGUGUUUUCCCUGUCCUUUUGGAGUCUUCAGUGGAUUGCAUCUAGGAGGAGCAGCUUCCCACAACCUGAAAUGGACAAUAGUCAAAAUUAGAUGUUACACUGUAUACUAUGCAAUAAAUAUUCUAAUGAAACUA
This is a long non-coding RNA of Procambarus clarkii (red swamp crayfish), 1027 nucleotides long. RefSeq lists it as uncharacterized. The record is from RefSeq and is a predicted model, not a curated record. Lineage: Eukaryota; Metazoa; Arthropoda; Malacostraca; Decapoda; Cambaridae.